RNAcentral lists this transfer RNA (72 nucleotides) under Spirochaetota bacterium. RNAcentral describes it as "Spirochaetes bacterium tRNA-Asp". It matches the Rfam family "tRNA". From Rfam's summary of the family: Transfer RNA (tRNA) molecules are approximately 80 nucleotides in length. Their secondary structure includes four short double-helical elements and three loops (D, anti-codon, and T loops). The record is from RNAcentral. Lineage: Bacteria; Pseudomonadati; Spirochaetota.
GGUUCGUUACGCAUCUGGUGAAGCGACCGCCCUGUCACGGCGAUGAGAUGGGUUCGAUUCCCAUACGAACCG